GAAUUGCCUUCUCUAGAAUGUACAGUUUCCAUUUUGACUAAUUAUGAAAUGGCUAACAAUUAUCUUGAUUGGGAGAUUGGGAAACAUGGUUUAAUUAUUGAGUUUAUUGAUCCUAAUAACAAUGUAAGGCGAAGCGCCACAUAUUUGCCUGAGGUGGCUGCUCAUGAAGGUUGGACAAAAGUGGAGGCAAUUGACUCACUGAUGCAUAAAGCGGGUUACAAUGGCCAUAUCACUGAGUCACUUCGGAAGUCUAUACAAUUGACACGCUAUCAGAGCACAUUAUUUACUAUGACCUAUAGUGACUAUGUCUCAUAUGUGAAGGCAGC
This 326-nucleotide unclassified non-coding RNA is filed under the name Hevea brasiliensis (rubber tree). Lineage: Eukaryota; Viridiplantae; Streptophyta; Magnoliopsida; Malpighiales; Euphorbiaceae. The record is from RNAcentral.